GGGUAGCGUAACACGUGAGCAACCUGCCGAUCUGAGGGGGGAUAGCCGGCCCAACGGCCGGGUAAUACCGCAUACGUUCUCGAGGGGGAGUCCUCUUGAGAAGAAACCUCCGGGGCAGAUCGAGGGGCUCGCGGCCUAUCAGCUAGUUGGCGGUGUAAUGGACCACCAAGGCGACGACGGGUAGCUGGUCUGAGAGGAUGGCCAGCCACAUUGGGACUGAGAGACGGCCCAG
This 232-nucleotide ribosomal RNA is filed under the name uncultured bacterium. RNAcentral's name for it is "partial 16S ribosomal RNA". It matches the Rfam family "Bacterial small subunit ribosomal RNA", at positions 104 to 334 of the family's 1533-position model. The record is from RNAcentral.